This 245-nucleotide ribosomal RNA is filed under the name uncultured bacterium. Its description in RNAcentral is "partial 16S ribosomal RNA". It matches the Rfam family "Bacterial small subunit ribosomal RNA", at positions 335 to 578 of the family's 1533-position model. The record is from RNAcentral.
GAGCCUACGGGAGGCAGCAGUGAGGAAUAUUGGUCAAUGGGCGAGAGCCUGAACCAGCCAAGUCGCGUGAGGGAGUACUGCCCUAUGGGUUGUAAACCUCUUUUGUCGGGGAGCAAAAGCCGGACGUGUCCGGCUGUGAGAGUACCCGAAGAAAAAGCAUCGGCUAACUCCGUGCCAGCAGCCGCGGUAAUACGGAGGAUGCGAGCGUUAUCCGGAUUUAUUGGGCGUAAAGCGAGUGCAGGCGG